RNAcentral lists this transfer RNA (63 nucleotides) under Ptiliidae sp. BMNH 1274723. RNAcentral's name for it is "tRNA-Asn". The record is from RNAcentral. Lineage: Eukaryota; Metazoa; Arthropoda; Insecta; Coleoptera; Ptiliidae.
UUAAUUGAAACCAAAAAGAGGUAUAUUAUUGUUAAUAAUAAAAUUGAGUAAUCUCCAAUUAAA